AAUCAACACUCCACUCAGACAAUGCCCAGACCUCCAGAAACCAUGUGUCAAGCUCGGAUUGCCUUAGACAGAAGCUCACCCAGCUGGAACUCUUAUGGGACCUUGGCACCAGAGACCACAAAUUCCUCUUUGAAGUUUUCUAACAGCAACAAUGAGUUUCGCUCUGUCGCCCAGGCUGGAGUGCAGUGGCGCGCGAUCUCGGUUCACUGCAAGCUCCACCUCCCGGGUUCACGCCAUUCUCCUGCCUCAGCCUCCUGAGUAGCUGGGACUACAGGCGCCCGCCACCACACCCAGGAAAAACGGAGCCCGAGCAGCUAAGGAUCUUGCCCACGGUCACUGAAUUAGCAAUGCUUGUGAUGAACAUUCCCAAAGCUUUUAUGAGCUCUACGAUCUGGAAUAGGUCUCUUUGUGAUCUGUUCUCCUACUUGCUAAAUAUAUGAAAUAUUAAACUUCAUAAUCACAAA
RNAcentral lists this long non-coding RNA (464 nucleotides) under Homo sapiens (human). Lineage: Eukaryota; Metazoa; Chordata; Mammalia; Primates; Hominidae. The record is from RNAcentral.